UACGGGGGGGGCAAGCGUUGUUCGGAAUUACUGGGCGUAAAGGGCGCGUAGGCGGGGGGCUAAGUCUCUCGUGAAAGCCCACGGCUCAACCGUGGAAUUGCGGGAGAUACUGUCUGUCUUGAGUCCGGGAGAGGAGGGUGGAAUUCCCCGUGUAGCGGUGAAAUGCGUAGGUAUUGGGAGGAACCCCGGUGGCGAAGGCGGCUCUCUGGCCCGGUACUGACGCUGAGGCGCGAAAGCUAGGGGAGCAAACGGG
This 253-nucleotide ribosomal RNA is filed under the name uncultured bacterium. RNAcentral's name for it is "partial 16S ribosomal RNA". It matches the Rfam family "Bacterial small subunit ribosomal RNA", at positions 524 to 776 of the family's 1533-position model. The record is from RNAcentral.